This 210-nucleotide long non-coding RNA is filed under the name Elaeis guineensis (African oil palm). RNAcentral's name for it is "long non-coding RNA (EGUI_LNC021828)". The record is from RNAcentral. Lineage: Eukaryota; Viridiplantae; Streptophyta; Magnoliopsida; Arecales; Arecaceae.
UAUGAAUAAGAUCUGGUGCACCAUCUAUGAGUUGGUACAUAUGCUGGUUACAACUGAGAGAAUCUUGAAGAGUUCAAAGGACUCUAUGCUUGCUGUAGAGUAGAUUCUUUCAAGAGAAAAUCUACUGAAAAGAAGAAAAAGUUUGUGAAGAAGCAUAAAGUAGAGAGCAAGAAGAAGGAGAAGAAGGCAGUCCCAAAGAAAAAGGCCCCA